GAGGCUGUUUUUGGAUGAUGCUGUAUACUUUCAAAGUGCCCCUCAAUUAUUUUCAGAAAGACACCUAUUUUGUAUGUUGAUUAUUAUUUGCUAUAUUUUUUCAAAAUGCUCUAAAUAUUCAUAUACAACUCUUAUUUUUUUAUCAUGGUUACAUUUGAAGAUAUUUCAGUAUUUCCAGCUUCGGACAAUCCAGAUCAAAGAUGCAUUAGAAGAUAGUUAUUGCAAAGGUAUAGCAAAUGUCUGACCCAAACAAUAAAAUAUGUGACCAAUACAUUUGAAAUCUCUAUACACCAAAUGUUGGGACAUGAGCCCCCCGGAGGGCGAAGGCAGUGAUGGAGCUCAAACCCGGGCACGACCAGCUCGGACCUCUGGUAGGACUGUUGA
RNAcentral lists this long non-coding RNA (384 nucleotides) under Sorghum bicolor (sorghum). Its description in RNAcentral is "long non-coding RNA (SBIC_LNC009560)". The record is from RNAcentral. Lineage: Eukaryota; Viridiplantae; Streptophyta; Magnoliopsida; Poales; Poaceae.